RNAcentral lists this non-coding RNA (28 nucleotides) under Bombyx mori (domestic silkworm). The record is from RNAcentral. Lineage: Eukaryota; Metazoa; Arthropoda; Insecta; Lepidoptera; Bombycidae.
UACAAAGAAACAUUUGUCUAAUGUCUGC